CACGUAGGGUGCGAGCGUUGUCCGGAAUUAUUGGGCGUAAAGAGCUCGUAGGCGGUGUGUCGCGUCGGCCGUGAAAACCUGCAGCUUAACUGUGGGCGUGCGGUCGAUACGGGCAUCACUGGAGUUCGGCAGGGGAGACUGGAAUUCCUGGUGUAGCGGUGAAAUGCGCAGAUAUUGGGAAGAACACCGGUGGCGAAGGCGGCUCACUGGCUCGUAACUGACGCUCAUGCACGACAGCGUGGGGAUCAAACAGG
This 254-nucleotide ribosomal RNA is filed under the name uncultured bacterium. Its description in RNAcentral is "partial 16S ribosomal RNA". It matches the Rfam family "Bacterial small subunit ribosomal RNA", at positions 524 to 776 of the family's 1533-position model. The record is from RNAcentral.